Molecule: non-coding RNA, 24 nt
Filed under: Arabidopsis thaliana (thale cress)
Lineage: Eukaryota; Viridiplantae; Streptophyta; Magnoliopsida; Brassicales; Brassicaceae
Source: RNAcentral
UGUGAAAGAACUUGUGUCUCGGUU